AAACCACUGCACUGUGGAAUAAUUUGUAUGUGGCCUUAUUGCAGCAAUUGACUAGUAAAUUUGUUUUCUUGUCUGGGGCCCCAUUAGAGUGUUAGCUCCUUGAGGUCAGCUACCAUGAUAAGAAUUUCCAUAUUUCCCAAUGCCUAUUAAGGUACCUGGCACACAGUAGAUACUCAAUAAAUGUUUGUUGCAUAAUAGCGUAAAAAAUAACCAAGGGGCCCUAAGUUAAAACACAAUCUUAACUAGAAGUCCCAAAGACUAUGUACCUUUUUUUGAGUAAAAAGUUAAAAAGCAAACAAUAUAUCUCGAUAUUUUAAAGUUUAGGAAAUUUUAGGAAAAAAACUGUUCCGAAUUAGUGAGGUUUUAGAGCAAUGCCAGAAAUGAAAAAAAAAAAAAGAUCUCUAGAGAGCUGUUACAAUGUUUUCACUAUUGACUUACAAGGUAUUCUAAAAUGAUCAAUCCUUUUGCUGUUGGAGUUUUGGAAUUGAGCGUCUCUGCUGUCUCACCAAUCUCACUUUCUUCCUUUAAUACCUUGUGACAUGAUUCAAGUAGUAGGAUGCAAUUGAGACGGUAGGACCAAAGGUAAAGAUGACUACUGCCAGCUAGUCUAUCCAAGCCUGACUUUCGGAUAAAUCUCUUGAUGACUUUUCUUCCCAUAAAAUAAACAGUUUAUACACUUGUACAGCAGACUGCACAUUUUCAUCAGUUACUGCUUGGACUGUGCCUUCCUCCUGCCACUG
RNAcentral lists this long non-coding RNA (740 nucleotides) under Homo sapiens (human). RNAcentral's name for it is "non-protein coding lnc-USP6NL-14:1". Lineage: Eukaryota; Metazoa; Chordata; Mammalia; Primates; Hominidae. The record is from RNAcentral.